UGGGGAAUUGUUCACAAUGGGCGCAAGCCUGAUGACGCAACGCCGCGUGGGGGAUGAAGGUCUUCGGAUCGUAAACCCCUGUCGAAUGGGACGAAAGACUCGCGAGUGAAUACUUCGCGAGAGUGACGGUACCGUUAAAGGAAGCCACGGCUAACUCUGUGCCAGCAGCCGCGGUAAUACAGAGGUGGCAAGCGUUGUUCGGAAUUACUGGGCGUAAAGGGCGCGUAGGCGGCCCUCUAAGUCAGACGUGAAAUCCCCCGGCUUAACCUGGGAACUGCGUCUGAUACUGGAGGGCUUGAGUAUGGGAGAGGGAUGUAGAAUUCCAGGUGUAGCGGUGAAAUGCGUAGAUAUCAAGAGGAACACCUGAGGUGAAGACGGGUUGCUGGGCUGACACUGACGCUGAGGCGCGAAAGCCAGGGG
Molecule: ribosomal RNA, 420 nt
Filed under: uncultured bacterium
Lineage: Bacteria
Description: bacterial SSU rRNA
Rfam family: Bacterial small subunit ribosomal RNA
Source: RNAcentral